GAUGAACGCUAGCUACAGGCUUAACACAUGCAAGUCGCAGGGUAACAUGAGGAAAGCUUGCUUUCCUUGAUGACGACUGGCGCACGGGUGAGUAACGCGUAUCCAACCUUCCCAUAACUACGGGAUAACCCGUUGAAAGACGGCCUAAUACCGUAUGAUAUCGUUUGCUGACAUCAAAUAACGAUUAAAGGUUUAGCGGUUAUGGAUGGGGAUGCGUCUGAUUAGCUUGUUGGCGGGGUAACGGCCCACCAAGGCGACGAUCAGUAGGGGUUCUGAGAGGCAGGUCCCCUACAUUGGAACAAAGACACGGACCAAGCGCCUACGGGCGGCAGCAGUGAGGGAUAUUGGGCAAUGCGCGAGAGCCUGAACCAGCCAAGUAUCGUGCAGGACGGCGGCACUAGGGGUUGUAAACUGCUUAUAGGUGGGGAUAAAGAGCGUGAGGGGUCAUGCAUUGAAGGUACCACAUGAAUAAGGACCGGCUAAUUCCGUG
RNAcentral lists this ribosomal RNA (490 nucleotides) under uncultured bacterium. Its description in RNAcentral is "partial 16S ribosomal RNA". It matches the Rfam family "Bacterial small subunit ribosomal RNA", at positions 28 to 507 of the family's 1533-position model. The record is from RNAcentral.